This 825-nucleotide ribosomal RNA is filed under the name Triticum aestivum (bread wheat). Its description in RNAcentral is "partial small subunit ribosomal RNA". Lineage: Eukaryota; Viridiplantae; Streptophyta; Magnoliopsida; Poales; Poaceae. The record is from RNAcentral.
AUGGGUUUCCUCUUUGGACGUAACAUCUCCGAGAAUUUUCUCUAUGCAACUGAUAUUCUUCACUGUUGUGCGAAGCGUAAGGCACCCACUCUAGUAGUUAAACUGGAUUUCAAAAAAGCUUUCAACUCCAUCUGUUGGGCUUCCCUUCUUGAUAAGCUCCGAAUUAGGGGCUUCCCCCGGCUGUGGUGUGAUUGGAUCAAUGCCCUUCUCACCAUUGGCUCCACUGCGGUCAUGCUAAACAACAAUCCCGGUAGAUUAAUUAAAUGUAGGAACGAUCUCCGCCAAGGGGACCCUAUGUCUCCCUAUCUUUUCAUUAUUAUCACUGAUAUCUUGAAACAAUUGAUCAUUAAAGCCAACAAUGAGGGCUUACUGUUUCACCCCCUUAACCCUGACCUACAUUGUCCUGUCCUCCAAUAUGCUGAUGAUACUCUCAUCAUCGUUAGGGCUACCCGAGAUGCUGCUAGACAUCUCAAAGCCAUCCUUGACAACUUUGCGGCUGCCACGGGACUCCAGAUCAAUUUCACCAAGACCACUUUCAUCCCCCUGAAUGUUGACACUGCUCAGACCGCCAAAAUGGUUGCGGUUCUGGCCACAGACAUCUUCUCGUUUCCUCAAACCUACCUAGGGCUUCCUCUCUCCCCUCACAAACUCCCCCUUCCACUUUCCAACCUGUUAUUGAUCGGUGUGAUGCCUACCUUGCUGGCUGGUGUGCACUCCUUCUAUCCAGUGAUGGAAAGCUUUUCCUUCUCUCUACGGUUUUGGAUAGUCUCCCCACGUACUUUAUGUUGUGCUUCGCCCUCCCGGAAAGUGCGUUAUAUCGACUAG